AGCAUAUCAAUAAGCGGAGGAAAAGAAACCAACAGGGAUUGCCUUAGUAACGGCGAGUGAAGCGGCAAAAGCUCAAAUUUGAAAUCUGGUACUUUCAGUGCCCGAGUUGUAAUUUGGAGAAGGCAACUUUGGGGCUGGUCCUUGUCUAUGUUCCUUGGAACAGGACGUCAUAGAGGGUGAGAAUCCCGUGUGGCGAGGAACCCAGUCCUUUGUAAAGUGCUUUCGAAGAGUCGAGUUGUUUGGGAAUGCAGCUCAAAGUGGGUGGUAAAUUCCAUCUAAAGCUAAAUAUUGGCGAGAGACCGAUAGCGAACAAGUACAGUGAUGGAAAGAUGAAAAGAACUUUGAAAAGAGAGUGAAAAAGUACGUGAAAUUGUUGAAAGGGAAGGGCAUUUGAUCAGACAUGGUGUUUUGCGCCCCUUACCUCUCGUGGGUGAGGGAAUCUCGCAGCUCACUGGGCCAACAUCAGUUUUGGUGGCAGGAUAAAUCUAUAGGAAUGUAGCUUGCUUCGGGAAGUAUUAUAGCCUGUGGAAAUACUGCCAACUGGGACUGAGGACUGCGACUUUGUCAAGGAUGUUGGCAUAAUGGUUAUAUGCCGCCCGUCUUGAAACACGGACCAAGGAGUCUAACGUCUAUGCGAGUGUUUGGGUGUAAAACCCGUACGCGUAAUGAAAGUGAACGUAGGUUGGGGCCUCGCAAGAGGUGCACAAUCGACCGAUCCUGAUGUUUUCAGAUGGAUUUGAGUAAGAGCAUAGCUGUUGGGACCCGAAAGAUGGUGAACUAUGCCUGAAUAGGGUGAAGCCAGAGGAAACUCUGGUGGAGGCUCGUAGCGGUUCUGACGUGCAAAUCGAUCGUCGAAUUUGGGUAUAGGGGCGAAAGACUAAUCGAACCAUCUAGUAGCUGGUUCCUGCCGA
This 911-nucleotide ribosomal RNA is filed under the name Vanderwaltozyma polyspora. RNAcentral's name for it is "LSU rRNA". It matches the Rfam family "Eukaryotic large subunit ribosomal RNA", at positions 37 to 964 of the family's 3401-position model. Lineage: Eukaryota; Fungi; Ascomycota; Saccharomycetes; Saccharomycetales; Saccharomycetaceae. The record is from RNAcentral.